UAAGAAGACACUUUGAACUAUUGCACAUGGUAAUGAAUCCAUAGACAUAAAAAAAGUCAAGAUCUCAAGUAGAAUUAACUUGAAAGACAAUGCGCUUAACAAGAAAUGGGUAAAAAAGACAAUCUUACUUUUUUUUGUUUGUUGGGGUGCGGGGGAAGGGGAAGAGAGAGAGAAGGUAGGUUUCAAUUCUGAUUAUUGUACAUGUGGGCCCAAUGCAUGAAAAUUACACAUAAUUUGAAACCAUAAUCCUGUGGAAACUGUUGGGAAUCCCACAUUGGAAAUCUAUGAAAUAAAAGGGCAAAAUAUAAAUG
Molecule: unclassified non-coding RNA, 311 nt
Filed under: Hevea brasiliensis (rubber tree)
Lineage: Eukaryota; Viridiplantae; Streptophyta; Magnoliopsida; Malpighiales; Euphorbiaceae
Source: RNAcentral